Molecule: long non-coding RNA, 3076 nt
Filed under: Canis lupus familiaris (dog)
Lineage: Eukaryota; Metazoa; Chordata; Mammalia; Carnivora; Canidae
Description: lncRNA (ENSCAFG00845015155.1)
Source: RNAcentral
UUUUUUUAGACAAGGAAACUGGACUACAGGAAGAUUCAUUUGCCUACAGCUACAGGGUAAGGAAAUGUGGGAGGCAGAAAUGUGGGAGGUAUUUCUCAUUAUUGGUGCCCACACUAUCUUUGGAGAAGAGUGCAAACUCGAACUAGAUACUAAAAUUGCCACUAAACAUUCAAAAAUGGUAUUAAAAAAAAAGCACACUACUCUUUUGGGGCUUCAUCUGUGCUUCAGUUGUUUAUUUGAACGAGCACAUAGGAAAUGUGCUAGACACGGGGAGUAUCAAAAUGAACAUUGUUUAUACUAUCAUAUUACACUGUUUAUAUAUUAUGAUUGUAAUUCUUACAUCCAAAGUUUUAUAGCAAAAUAAGAGUAUGACAGGAAUAUGAAUAGCUAUAAAACAAGCCAAGUUGAUUAAAUAUAAAACAUAAAAAAUUGUGAGAAUGUAGAGAAAAUGCCCACCUAAAGUGGGAUUAGCAAAAGCUUCAUGGCAAGGCUAUUAUUUGAGCCAGGUCUACAGGAGUAGCCAAAAUUUAGAUAAAGUUGAAGCCUGCCCCUCAGUAUGUAGGAACAGUGUGAACAAAGGCAUAUUCACAAGAUACCAAAUCAUCCAGUUUGAAUGGAGCAAAGGCUGUGGUAAACAAGUGGAAGUGGAGAUAAAACUGGAAAAUGAGAGUGAAGUCAGAUAGUACAGUAUAAUAAACAACUGCCUUGGGAUCCCUGGGUGGCACAGCGGUUUGGCGCCUGCCUUUGGCCCAGGGCGUGAUCCCGGAGACCCGGGAUCGAAUCCCACAUCGGGCUCCCGGUGCAUGGAGCCUGCUUCUCCCUCUGCCUGUGUCUCUGCCUCCCUCUCUCUCUCUCUGUAACUAUCAUAAAUAAAUAAAAAAUAAAAAAAAAUUAUUUAAAAAAAAAAAUAAACAACUGCCUUGCUAAGGAAUACAGACUUUAUUCAAAAAGCAAAAAAGCUUGUAGCAGGGAAGAUACAUAAUCAAAGUUAGAUUUUAGGAAGAUUAAUCUGACAGUGAUUGGAGAGUGGACAGAGGGGACAAAAGCCAGUUAAAGGCUUAGGGAAGCAAGAAAAGCAGAAAAGUAGUGAUAUUACUGGGAAUGAAGAGGGGAUUGAUGAAAAGAUAUUAUAAGAAAUAACUGGACUCUAAGGGAAGAAUGAAGAAGGAAGAAAGGAGAAAAGGGGUAAGAGAUGACCCUGUGUUUCAGGAUAUAUAGCAAUGUCUUUAGUGACACUUGUGCAAGACAAGAGGAGUACAGUUAAGAGCAGAGAUGCUACAUUUAAGACAUUGAGGGGAAAAAAGACUGAUUCUGAUGGAGCCGAUGAGAGAUCCAAAUAGGAAUUCACAUUCAUUCAGUAUAUGAGCAUUUACUGACUGCCUAUUACAUGGAGAACCCUUCCAUAAAUACUUGGGAUGUAUCACAAUCACUACAGAAGAGUUAUUUUUUGUUCCUCUUUCCUGUUUAAAAGAUCAUAAUAAAGGGUCAUAUUCAGGGGGCGCCUGGGUGGCUCAAUCAGUUAAGUAUCUGCUGUCAGCUCAGGUCAUGAUCCCAGGGUCCUAGGAUCCAGCCCCACAUCAGGCUUCCUGCUCAGUGGGGAGCCUGCUUCUCCCUCUCCCUCUGCCUGCUGCUCCCCUGCUUCUGCUCCUGCGUGUGCUCUCUCUCACCAAAUAAGAUUUUUUAAAAAUAAAGUAUCAUAUUCAAAUCUAACUCCAUAUUUCCAAACCAACACAGUUUGAAAAGUCUCCUUCCUCUGAAUUUCUGUAAAUUUAACUGUCUGUACUAUUCACGAGGUGUUUAGCACUCAUUCCCCUAAUGUCAGGCUUUCAAUCAGAUCAUAAAAAAAGUAUAUUGAGGGGAAUGCCUGGGUGGCUCAGUGGUUGAGCAUCUGCCUUCGGCUCUGGUACUGAUCCCAGGAUCCAGGGAUAGAGUUCCGUAAAGGGCUCCCCGCAGGGUGCCUGCUUCUCCCUCUGCCUGUGUCUCUGCCUCUCUCUGUGUCUCUCAUGAAUAAAUAUAUAUAUAAUAUAUAUUAUGAAUAAAUAUAUAUUAUAUAUAUAUAAAGUAUAUUGAAAACAGGCAUCAUUUUAGAUAUUCCUUGAAUCUCCCACAGUACCUCAUUCAUAGCAGGAAUUCACUAAUGCUUUGUUAGACCAAGGGAUUACUUUUUCCUUUCAUGUUCUAUGAUAAGGAUACAACUUUCCUUAGCCUUGUAGAACAGAAAGGAAUAGUAACCUUUCACAUCCAGAACUCAUGACCACUGUAAAAGAAGCCACAGAAGCUAAGUUGGUCUUGGACCGUGAAAAAGAGCUGAACAAUGGCAAGAGCUGAGAAACUAGUAUACCACUUUUGACAGCAAUUGGUUUACAAACAAGAAGAGGCAACACAGAAAUUUUAGCAAAGGAGUACCCAAACAAAUCCAAAGCAGGAACUUAGACAUCCAAUAAUAGCACCUCUAUGUUAACUAUUUUUAGAAACAUUCUGAAAGUCACCUAAAUCCCUACAGAUAUUAAAAUAAAAUUCAUAGUUCUAAUUAUUCUCUCUAGGAAGUUUGCUUUUUCAGGUAUUCUACAGUUGACUAUUCCAACUGAUAUAAGUAUGAAAGGUAUAUAUAAUUUUAGAAACAGGAGUAUGAAAUGUACAUGAUAACCGUAACAUCCUACAGUAUAUGUAAGAAUUAGCCAACAUCAUUAUCAGUGCCAAGAAUGCUGAUGCACAAGUUAUCAAAAUGGCCAAAGUGAAAUUUCCUUCUAGAAGCAGAAGAAACAGACCUCACUCCUCCUGGACAUGUUCCGAUCAUUACAAAUCCAAAAGCCUAUGUUGUGGCUCCUACAAUGCCAAAAUCUGUGUCCAGAGAAAUCCAUAAAAUGGCAUAAGAAAAAUAUUGUGCAACUGCCCCAAGAAUUAUUGGCAAAGGUCUCUUUCAUACUAUUUGAAACACCUGCAACCCAAUAUAGCAACUAAAUGUAUGUUGGUAGAAUAAGCAUCUAGAAUUUCAGUCAAUAUGCAUUGAUGCCUUGAAAAGACUGUCUUUUCUUUGUUUAAGCACUUUAACAUUAUUUCUUGAAUCUUGCCUACC